This is a long non-coding RNA of Hyaena hyaena (striped hyena), 623 nucleotides long. RefSeq lists it as uncharacterized. NCBI's taxonomy places the organism in Eukaryota, Metazoa, Chordata, Mammalia, Carnivora, Hyaenidae. The transcript has 3 exons. The record is from RefSeq and is a predicted model, not a curated record.
CAAGCCGGCCGCGAGAGGGUGUCGCGCGUGCAAACCCAGCAAGGCCCCACCUCUCAGCGAAGCGCGCCUCCGCCCGCCUGCUCUGGCCACCGCGGGGAGGAAGGAUGGGCGCAGGGGACUCGGAGCGCGUGUCCCCAGGUCGAGGACCCCGUCCUCGCGUCCCAAAGGCCUCGGAAUCGCACCGUGGCGUCCUGAGAUCUGGGUAAACCCGACUGGGCGGGACGGGCACGAGGACGCAGUUCACUGCAGGCCCCGGCCCCCCGGAUGCAGGCAGGAGAGAGCAGCCUAAGGAGGGCGGAGCUGGAAAGGACAAGCCUCCCUGCGGGGAGCACCCCGCCGCCGGGGUUGGUCGAGGCCGGCUGAUCAGCGUCGAGGCUCACUCCAGACGAGACGGCACCGCUUGGAAUCUCCAGGAGCUCUCGGGCCCACUGCGCCCCACUCAUCGCCCACUGAGAGGAAACAGGCAAACUGGGAGAGGAUAAUCGCCACCACCACGUCCUUCAAGUUCUGAUGGUGACACUCCUCUCUGCAAUCUCUCCAAGAAUGAGAUCGCUUACCAUUUUGGGUUUGGAAAAUUUAGAAUGAGACUCUUUCACAACCAUCCUUGCUACAACCCUGGUUUC